This 250-nucleotide ribosomal RNA is filed under the name uncultured bacterium. Its description in RNAcentral is "partial 16S ribosomal RNA". It matches the Rfam family "Bacterial small subunit ribosomal RNA", at positions 524 to 773 of the family's 1533-position model. The record is from RNAcentral.
UACGGAGGAUCCAAGCGUUAUCCGGAUUUAUUGGGUUUAAAGGGUGCGUAGGCGGCGUGUUAAGUCAGAGGUGAAAGCCUGCAGCUCAACUGUAGAACUGCCUUUGAUACUGGCGCGCUUGAGUACAGAUGAAGUGGGCGGAAUGUGACAAGUAGCGGUGAAAUGCAUAGAUAUGUCACAGAACACCGAUUGCGAAGGCAGCUCACUAAAGUGUAACUGACGCUGAGGCACGAAAGCGUGGGGAUCAAAC